Molecule: ribosomal RNA, 410 nt
Filed under: uncultured Methylomirabilota bacterium
Lineage: Bacteria; Methylomirabilota (SeqCode)
Description: bacterial SSU rRNA
Rfam family: Bacterial small subunit ribosomal RNA
Source: RNAcentral
AGCGUGGAGACAGGUGGUGCAUGGCUGUCGUCAGCUCGUGUCGUGAGAUGUUGGGUUAAGUCCCGCAACGAGCGCAACCCUCACCCCUAGUUGCCACCGGGUUAAGCCGAGCACUCAAAGGGAACUGCCAGCGUCAAGCUGGAGGAAGGCGGGGAUGACGUCAAGUCAUCAUGCCCCUUACGCCCUGGGCUACACACGUGCUACAAUGGCCAGUACAAAGGGACGCGAGACUGCGAAGUGGAGCUAAUCCCAAAAAGCUGGUCUAAGUUCAGAUUGCAGUCUGCAACUCGACUGCAAGAAGGAGGAAUCGCUAGUAAUCGCGUAUCAGCCCGGCGCGGUGAAUACGUUCCCGGGCCUUGUACACACCGCCCGUCACACCACGAAAGCUGUCUGUACUCGAAGUCGCUGAG